AAGUGGAGUACUGUUAACCUCUAGGACUUACAUGUGUAGUUCAGAAAUACUGCAGAUGGGUUGUGUUGGCACAUCCCAGAAUAAAUUGGGUUUGGACCACAUAAGAGGUAGUGCUCACGGUCAUCUGAUGUCAACUGAAACCUGGAUUGGCCCGGGAUAUGGAAACCUAAAAUAGGAUAAGAGAAACUUCCUGCACUGGGAAUCAAGACCACUAUCUCUUCCUACCUCUCUUUCUGACCUGGAGAAGCCUCAAAGUUCUCAUGUCCAAACAGUUAAGCACAGCAAGACCACCUGUAAAACCACAGUUAUGUCUUCUAGACAGAGAUGUUCUGAGAGGAUUUAGUGAAAGGCUCUCAUUAGCCCUGCUGUAUUUAUCCUGCUGACAAAAAGACAGAGAUUAGAGACAUCCUGGGGAACUCUGUAAUAUCCUUCAUAUCAUGGUAUCCCAGGAAGCUUGGCCAGGCUCAGGCUGGGUAUUUUGGCAGAAGACAUUGCUUGGCUCCAGCCAGUGCUGUAAGCUCCUACCAGGGACAUAAGAGCAGACAGGCGCUGCCUGGAAACUGAGCUCUGGGUCAGAUUUGUUUGGAGAGACAGGCUUAGUAGUCAUGAAAACCUUUUCAUGCUGUUUGAUGGUUGGCCUUUGGAUUAGGCAAUUGUUGCAGCCUCCCUACUGGUUAUAUUAGAACACUAUCAGCUAAAAUCUUGCUG
Molecule: long non-coding RNA, 708 nt
Filed under: Coturnix japonica (Japanese quail)
Lineage: Eukaryota; Metazoa; Chordata; Aves; Galliformes; Phasianidae
Description: lncRNA (ENSCJPG00005020016.1)
Source: RNAcentral